RNAcentral lists this ribosomal RNA (430 nucleotides) under Bacteroidota bacterium. Its description in RNAcentral is "Bacteroidetes bacterium partial 16S ribosomal RNA". It matches the Rfam family "Bacterial small subunit ribosomal RNA", at positions 355 to 776 of the family's 1533-position model. The record is from RNAcentral. Lineage: Bacteria; Pseudomonadati; Bacteroidota.
UAGGGAAUCUUCGGCAAUGGGGGGAACCCUGACCGAGCAACGCCGCGUGAGUGAAGAAGGUUUUCGGAUCGUAAAGCUCUGUUGUUAAGGAAGAACGAGUGUGAGAAUGGAAAGUUCAUACUGUGACGGUACUUAACCAGAAAGGGACGGCUAACUACGUGCCAGCAGCCGCGGUAAUACGUAGGUCCCGAGCGUUGUCCGGAUUUAUUGGGCGUAAAGCGCGCGUAGGCGGUUUUUUAAGUCUGAUGUGAAAGCCCACGGCUCAACCGUGGAGGGUCAUUGGAAACUGGAAAACUUGAGUGCAGAAGAGGAAAGUGGAAUUCCAUGUGUAGCGGUGAAAUGCGCAGAGAUAUGGAGGAACACCAGUGGCGAAGGCGACUUUCUGGUCUGUAACUGACGCUGAUGUGCGAAAGCGUGGGAAUCAAACAGG